UAGUGAGUUUGAUCCUGGCUCAGAUUGAACGCUGGCGGCAUGCUUUACACAUGCAAGUCGAACGGUAACAGGCCGCAAGGUGCUGACGAGUGGCGAACGGGUGAGUAAUGCAUCGGAACGUGCCCAGUCGUGGGGAUAACGCAGCGAAAGCUGUGCUAAUACCGCAUACGAUCUAUGGAUGAAAGCGGGGGACCUAAGGCCUCGUGCGAUUGGAGCGGCCGAUGUCAGGAUUAGGUAGUUGGUGGGGUAACUGGCCUACCGAAGCCGACGAUCC
Molecule: ribosomal RNA, 274 nt
Filed under: uncultured Comamonadaceae bacterium
Lineage: Bacteria; Pseudomonadati; Pseudomonadota; Betaproteobacteria; Burkholderiales; Comamonadaceae
Description: partial 16S ribosomal RNA
Rfam family: Bacterial small subunit ribosomal RNA
Source: RNAcentral